Molecule: ribosomal RNA, 251 nt
Filed under: uncultured prokaryote
Description: partial 16S rRNA
Rfam family: Bacterial small subunit ribosomal RNA
Source: RNAcentral
ACAGAGAUGGCGAGCGUUACUCGGAUUUAUUGGGUGUAAAGGGCAGGUAGGUGUUUUGCCAAGUUGCAAGUGAAAUCCUAAGGCUUAACCUUAGAACUGCUUGCAAAACUGGCGAAAUUGAGAUCGGUAGAGGAAAGCGGAAUUCCCGGUGUAGGGUUGUAAGGUGUAGAUUCGGGGAAGAAUACGAGAGGCCAAGGCGGAUUUCUUGGACGAUUCUGAGGUUGGGCGGCUAAGGCUCGUGGAGGAAUGAU